GAUGAACGCUGGCGGCGUGCCUAAUACAUGCAAGUCGAGCGAACAGAUGAGGAGCUUGCUCCUCUGACGUUAGCGGCGGACGGGUGAGUAACACGUGGAUAACCUACCUAUAAGACUGGGAUAACUUCGGGAAACCGGAGCUAAUACCGGAUAAUAUAUUGAACCGCAUGGUUCAAUAGUGAAAGACGGUUUUGCUGUCACUUAUAGAUGGAUCCGCGCCGCAUUAGCUAGUUGGUAAGGUAACGGCUUCCCAAGGCAACGAUGCGUAGCCGACGUGAGAGGGUGAUCGGCCACCCUGGAAGGGAGACACGGUCCAGACGCCUACGGGAGGGAGCAGUAGGGAAUCUGCCGCAAUGGGCGAAAGCCUGACGGAGCAACGCCGAGUGAGUGAUGAAGGUCUCCGGAUAGUAAAACUCGGCUAUUAGGGAAGAACAAAUGUGUAAGUAACUAUGCACGUAGUGACGGUACCUAAACAGAAAGCCACGGCUAACUACGUG
RNAcentral lists this ribosomal RNA (497 nucleotides) under uncultured bacterium. Its description in RNAcentral is "partial 16S ribosomal RNA". It matches the Rfam family "Bacterial small subunit ribosomal RNA", at positions 28 to 507 of the family's 1533-position model. The record is from RNAcentral.